Molecule: long non-coding RNA, 354 nt
Organism: Helianthus annuus (common sunflower)
Lineage: Eukaryota; Viridiplantae; Streptophyta; Magnoliopsida; Asterales; Asteraceae
Exons: 4
Source: RefSeq, a predicted model, not a curated record
ACCCUAACAACCCAAAAUCCAUCAAAUUGAAAGGGAAAUUGAAGGUUUAUCGUAUGCAUGAACUAGGAAUGUUAAUCACUUGAGGAUCUCCAACAUCAAGGUCGAAGAAAGGAGCGGAAUCAAACCAAGCAAAGGCAAUCGGAGCGCACGACUCCGGGUCGAAGAAAGGAGCGGAAUCAAACCAAGCAAAGGCAAUAGGAGCGCACGACUCCGGUGAAUCUCACUCUUGAUAAUGGCGAGCUUGGAUCGAACACACCACAUUGCCCUUUUAUGCGCUUCCGGUUUAAGUCGUCUUUGUAAAUAGGUCAAAACACUUUCAUAAUGUAAAUGUUAAGUUUAUGUCUAGGAUGUUUC